UACAGAGGGUGCAAGCGUUAAUCGGAAUUACUGGGCGUAAAGCGUGCGUAGACGGUCAUGUAAGUCGGGUGUGAAAGCCCCGAGCUCAACCUGGGAAUUGCAUUCGAGACUGCAUGGCUAGGAUGCGGAAGAGGGAAGCGGAAUUUCCGGUGUAGCGGUGAAAUGCGUAGAUAUCUGGAGGAACACCGGUGGCGAAGGCGACGUCCUGGACCGGCAUUGACGCUGAGGCGCGACAGCGUGGGGGAGCAAACAGGA
RNAcentral lists this ribosomal RNA (255 nucleotides) under uncultured bacterium. RNAcentral describes it as "partial 16S ribosomal RNA". It matches the Rfam family "Bacterial small subunit ribosomal RNA", at positions 524 to 777 of the family's 1533-position model. The record is from RNAcentral.